Molecule: ribosomal RNA, 481 nt
Filed under: uncultured bacterium
Lineage: Bacteria
Description: partial 16S ribosomal RNA
Rfam family: Bacterial small subunit ribosomal RNA
Source: RNAcentral
GAUGAACGCUGGCGGCGUGCCUAACACAUGCAAGUCGAGCGAGGCACUUACUUUAGAUUUCUUCGGAAUGACGAAGUUUGUGACUGAGCGGCGGACGGGUGAGUAACGCGUGGGCAACCUGCCCUGUACAGGGGGAUAACAGUCAGAAAUGACUGCUAAUACCGCAUAAGCCCACAGCUUCGCAUGAAGCAGUGGGAAAAACUCCAGUGGUACAGGAUGGGCCCGCGUCUGAUUAGCUAGUUGGUAAGGUAACGGCUUACCAAGGCGACGAUCAGUAGCCGGUCUGAGAGGGUGACCGGCCACAUUGGGACUGAGACACGGCCCAAACUCCUACGGGAGGCAGCAGUGGGGAAUAUUGGACAAUGGGCGAAACCCUGAUGCAGCGACGCCGCGUGAGCGAUGAAGUAUUUCGGUAUGUAAAGCUCUAUCAGCAGGGAAGAAAGUGACGGUACCGGACUAAGAAGCCCCGGCUAACUACGUG